AUUGUANCCACUGAUCUCUAUAUAACACUGGAUAGCGCAUAGGCUCGCUCGGUUGACCCCUUUUGAGUAGGUGUCUGCCAUGUUGCUUGUAGUCAGUUUUCAAAUCCAAUAUGGCGAUUCCGGUGAUGGACUCUGAAUGACAUGUGUGACCUGUGAUUUAUUCUGGCUCUAUAAUUUCGAUCGGAUAGUGCUUUGUUAAUAUUUCGAGCAUAAAUUAUUUACUAUUAGAGAUACAAUGGUGCUAAUAUGUAAAUAUUGCGGUAAGAAAGGCGGAAUAGAAGGCAGAACUCUGCAUAAAUUUCCUUUGAAAGAUGCAGAGCUUCUGUCUGGCUG
Molecule: long non-coding RNA, 333 nt
Organism: Ceratina calcarata
Lineage: Eukaryota; Metazoa; Arthropoda; Insecta; Hymenoptera; Apidae
Exons: 2
Source: RefSeq, a predicted model, not a curated record